CAAUAGCGUAUAUUAAAGUUGUUGCAGUUAAAAAGCUCGUAGUCGGAUUUUGGCAUCAUGCCGAACUGUCAGCCGAUUGGUUUGUACGGUUUGGCGGGUGCUCUCCUUCCGGAGGCUCGUUUCCUCUUUCAUUAGAGGGUUCGAUGGUUCCGGGUCUUUUACUUUGAAAAAUUAGAGUGUUCAAAGCAGGCCAACGCAUUGAAUACAUUAGCAUGGAAUAAUGGAAUAGGACUUUGGUCUUAUUUUGUUGGUUUCUAAGGCCGAGGUAAUGAUUAAUAGGGAUAGUUGGGGGCGUUUAUAUUCCGUUGUCAGAGGUGAAAUUCUUGGAUUUACGGAAGAUAAACUACUGCGAAAGCAUUCGCCAAGGAUGUUUUCAUUAAUCAAGAACGAAAGUUAGGGGAUCGAAGACGAUCAGAUACCGU
This 422-nucleotide ribosomal RNA is filed under the name uncultured eukaryote. RNAcentral's name for it is "bacterial SSU rRNA". It matches the Rfam family "Eukaryotic small subunit ribosomal RNA", at positions 592 to 1018 of the family's 1831-position model. The record is from RNAcentral.